This is a non-coding RNA of Cyanistes caeruleus (blue tit), 563 nucleotides long. The record is from RefSeq and is a predicted model, not a curated record. Lineage: Eukaryota; Metazoa; Chordata; Aves; Passeriformes; Paridae.
CUGUUCUUAUCGCAACACAUGAGCUUUCCAUUUUUACAGUUCUGCUCCCUAUCCCAGUGGGGCAGAGGAGGGGAAUGGGAAAGUCCACUGCAUGGAUCUUAAUUGCUGGGUCUAGGAGUUAAGCACAUCGGUGUCUUAUUUAACUUUUCUCUCUCAGACUUUGGAGUUCAAUGAAGCCUGAUAGAUCUUCGUUCGUAUCUGCAGUUUGUAGGAAUGCCACUGGUUCAACUGAGAGAAAUGUGGAAAAUGUCUGAUUAGCUCCAGUUUCUAGUGAUGAAUUGAUUACCAUCUAUUGAUUUACAAGUCAAACCUAAGAGACAGCCCACAAAGACAUCUUGUAUAUCAAAGGCUUCGAAGAGAUCUAAAGACACAAAAAUUUCUUUGACAUGUCAAAGGAGAAAUGAGCUCAAGUUCUUCAAACAAAUGCUGCAGGAAAGGAAGUCAUUUACUCUUCGGCUUUUGCUUAUUUCCAUUUGCUUUAAUUGUAGAGUAAAAUUUAUUUAGACCAAUUUCUUCCGUUCACUCAUGAAGAGUAAUGCUUGUAUAGGGUGAUAUUUAGAAAA